RNAcentral lists this ribosomal RNA (580 nucleotides) under uncultured bacterium. RNAcentral's name for it is "partial 16S ribosomal RNA". It matches the Rfam family "Bacterial small subunit ribosomal RNA", at positions 355 to 932 of the family's 1533-position model. The record is from RNAcentral.
UGGGGAAUAUUGCACAAUGGGCGCAAGCCUGAUGCAGCCAUGCCGCGUGUGUGAAGAAGGCCUUCGGGUUGUAAAGCACUUUCAGCGAGGAGGAAGGUGGUGAGCUUAAUACGCUCAUCAAUUGACGUUACUCGCAGAAGAAGCACCGGCUAACUCCGUGCCAGCAGCCGCGGUAAUACGGAGGGUGCAAGCGUUAAUCGGAAUUACUGGGCGUAAAGCGCACGCAGGCGGUUUGUUAAGUCAGAUGUGAAAUCCCCGGGCUCAACCUGGGAACUGCAUUUGAAACUGGCAAGCUAGAGUCUCGUAGAGGGGGGUAGAAUUCCAGGUGUAGCGGUGAAAUGCGUAGAGAUCUGGAGGAAUACCGGUGGCGAAGGCGGCCCCCUGGACGAAGACUGACGCUCAGGUGCGAAAGCGUGGGGCAGCAAACAGGAUUAGAUACCCUGGUAGUCCACGCUGUAAACGAUGUCGAUUUGGAGGUUGUGCCCUUGAGGCGUGGCUUCCGGAGCUAACGCGUUAAAUCGACCGCCUGGGGAGUACGGCCGCAAGGUUAAAACUAAAUGAAUUGACGGGGUCAUAGCUG